RNAcentral lists this long non-coding RNA (1066 nucleotides) under Vulpes vulpes (red fox). RNAcentral's name for it is "lncRNA (ENSVVUG00000009592.1)". The record is from RNAcentral. Lineage: Eukaryota; Metazoa; Chordata; Mammalia; Carnivora; Canidae.
GCACUAGUUUGGGCAAUUUAAGGAAGUUCUGGUAUCCCUUUUACAGUAGAUUUUUAAGAACAGAAUUUUUUUUUCUGUCUGAAAUGAUUUACUCAACCCUCCUUAGAGAAACAUCAAUCACUGUGAUAAGGACAGUCUUCUCAAUAAAUUUUAUGUAGAAAUUUUUAGCAUCAUUGUACCUUGGGAAAACUAAGCUUCAAUGACUUGACAAUAUUCAACUUAAAUGCCAUGGAGCCAAUACUCAAACUCCAAGAACUGAGAGGUAUCCAGUGCUAAAACCACCCUGUAAAUCAAACUGCAGGCCUAGUCUUGGUAAUAUUCAGAGGGUCAAUUAUAAAUCAACACAGAGUAAAUAAUGUGUUGGGAUGCAGCAAAGAACCUGACUUCACAAAUAAUCCAGUCAGUUCUGUCAGAAGUCAGUAGAUAGCAAUCCUGAUCUCUAAGAUAUUAAAACAUUUAUUCAUUUUUUAAUUUAUUCAGCAAAUAGUUGUGGACAUCUAUUAAAUACUGGUGCUGUCUCUAGGUGCUGGGAACACAGCAGAGACCAAAGCAGAUAAGUAAGGUACUUGCCUUCAUAGAGUUUAUACUCCAGAGAGUGUAAAUAGAUAAUGAAAAGUAAAAACAACUGCUGUAGACAUUUACUAAGUGCUUAUGUGUACCAGACAUGUCCUAAAAAUGUGUAAUCUUCAUAACAUCCCAGUACUAUUAUUACAAACAUAGCAGAGAAGGAAAAUCCACCAUGGGGAAGUUAAAUGACUUGGUUUAGGUAAGACAACUAAAAGCAGUAAAAAUAGGCUGCUUGGGUCUGGAGCCCAUGUUUUUAAUUAUCUCAUUGCAAAAAUUUCAGUUAAUCUGGAGUGGGAAAUUUUUCUCAAGAUUCAACUGCCACCAUUCUGUCGAAGGAAGGAAGGAAGGAAGGAAGGAAGGAAGGAAGGAAAGGGAAGAUAAGAAAAGAAAGAAAAAAAAGAAAGGAAGGAAGGAAAAAAGAAAUGUUGAUUUGACAGAGCAAAAAGGAAAGAAGGAAGACCAGUACUUUGGAAGGGUAGAAGAUAAUCAAGUCUUCUAA